Molecule: long non-coding RNA, 445 nt
Organism: Oncorhynchus tshawytscha (Chinook salmon)
Lineage: Eukaryota; Metazoa; Chordata; Actinopteri; Salmoniformes; Salmonidae
Source: Ensembl
CUUACAGGGAAAUGCUGAAUACAACAGGUGUAGUAGACCUUACAGGGAAAUGCUGAAUACAACAGGUGUAGUAGACCUUACAGGGAAAUGCUGAAUACAACAGAUGUAGUAGACCUUACAUUUAAAUGCUGACUGACAAGCCCUUAACCAACAAUGCAGUUUAAAAAAAAAAAAAACGAACAAAAAUAAGAAUAAGAAAUAAAAGUCACAAAUCAAUAUUUGGGUCAAUAAAGUCCACCAACUAACUUUUAGAAACCUGUAACAGUACAGGCAGGUAGCCAAGUAUGAAAGCAAAACAGUAGCAGCGAUAGCAGAGAUUCAUACAGUAUGUGUAACCAUGGCAGAGUAUGUCAUUGAUCUCCAUAUCAUUUAGUCCCAGGCUGUGUUCCACUGUCUCUGAUUUAUGCAGCAUUACAACUAACAGAUGAUCAUUUAUGAGUGGGAG